CUUGACAAACACCAAAUCAUUCAAGCGAUUUUGAGCUAGUAUAUUUCUUUUUUUACCGUGAAUUUGCAAAAUAUAACAAUUUUAAUAAGUAUAAUUUUUGAAAGAACAAAUGAAAGGUAUAAUUCUAAAGGGAGAUAUUUUGUCACUUACAUGCUCAAAGAUGCUCCAAUUACGCUCACAACCAGAUGCACUACAAGUGAGGCUAAGCACUUUAACAGCAAAAUUUCUCAAAUUUGGAGUUGUUGCUCCAUAAGUU
This 256-nucleotide unclassified non-coding RNA is filed under the name Hevea brasiliensis (rubber tree). Lineage: Eukaryota; Viridiplantae; Streptophyta; Magnoliopsida; Malpighiales; Euphorbiaceae. The record is from RNAcentral.